CAGCCGCCGCGGGAAUACGAAGGGUGCAAGCGUUAAUCGGAAUUACUGGGCGUAAAGCGUGCGUAGGCGGUUUGUUAAGUCUGUUGUGAAAUCCCCGGGCUCAACCUGGGAAUGGCAGUGGAUACUGGCUCGCUAGAGUGUGUCAGAGGAUGGUGGAAUUCCCGGUGUAGCGGUGAAAUGCGUAGAGAUCGGGAGGAACAUCAGUGGCGAAGGCGGCCAUCUGGGACAACACUGACGCUGAGGCACGAAAGCGUGGGGAGCAAACAGGAUUAGAUACCCGCGUAGUCCCUGUCUCUUAUAC
Molecule: ribosomal RNA, 301 nt
Filed under: uncultured bacterium
Lineage: Bacteria
Description: partial 16S ribosomal RNA
Rfam family: Bacterial small subunit ribosomal RNA
Source: RNAcentral